UGGGGAAUAUUGGACAAUGGGCGCAAGCCUGAUCCAGCAACGCCGCGUGGAGGACGAAGGUCUUCGGAUCGUAAACUCCUGUCAGGUGGGACGAAGGCUUGGGGGUGAAUAAUCUUCAAGCUUGACGGUACUACCAGAGGAAGCCCCGGCUAACUCCGUGCCAGCAGCCGCGGUAAUACGGAGGGGGCGAGCGUUAUUCGGAAUUAUUGGGCGUAAAGGGCGCGUAGGCGGCUUGAUAAGUCAAAGGUGAAAUCCCUCGGCUCAACUGAGGAACUGCCUUUGAAACUGUCUGGCUUGAGGCCGGGAGGGGGUAGCGGAAUUCCCAGUGUAGCGGUGAAAUGCGUAGAUACUGGGAGGAACACCGGUGGCGAAGGCGGCUACCUGGACCGGUUCUGACGCUGAUGCGCGAAAGCGUGGGUAGCAAACAGG
This 429-nucleotide ribosomal RNA is filed under the name uncultured bacterium. RNAcentral describes it as "bacterial SSU rRNA". It matches the Rfam family "Bacterial small subunit ribosomal RNA", at positions 355 to 776 of the family's 1533-position model. The record is from RNAcentral.